CUCGCGCAUUUACCGUGUGCAGAGCACUGUCCUGGACUCCUAUCGUCGCUGGGAUCGAUUCCUCACACGUUCUCCCUGCCCACCCCCUGGGGUUCCUCGGGGUGUCUAGGUCUCCCCUCCCCUCGCUGGUCACUCACCCGCAUGGACCGUGGCUGACGUGAGAGCUGCCCCUCUAGGGGGCUGGGUGGAGGACCCCGGAGAGCGCGAUUCCUGGAGGGUCGGAGUUCGGGGCCUCCCCGGCGACGAGUCCAAAACAUCAGCUGCCCCGGAAGGGACGGUGGAGAUGUCGCUGGUCUGUACUAGGGGCCUGGGGGCUCCGUCGCCGGUGGUGGACGCGGAUCCGGGGGUCCCGUCCCCAUCGCUAAUUGAGGGGCUGGGGGCUCCGUCGCUGGCCGUGGCCGUGAACGUGGAGCUUGUGGUCCUGCUUCCGUCACUCACUGAGGCGCUGGGGGCUCCAUCGCUGGACGUGGCCGUGGGCAUGGAUCUGGGGGUCUCGUCCUCAUCGCCAACUGAGGCGCCGGGAUCUCCACCGCCGGGCACCGAGAUGCCACGAGCCCCGCCCCCACUGCCAGCCGUGGCCGUGGCGCCGGACGCUCCGUCUCUGGCGGCGGCCGCAACUCCGGCCGAGCCCGUGGCCGUGGAGGUGGCGGCCUCGUCCCGGUGGACGGCCGUGGCGCCGGGAGCUCCGGCCGCUGCCGUGGUCGGGGCGGGACGCCCCUCACUCGCUUCCCAGUGAAAACCACCCCACUGUCCGGUCGCCGACCCUCCCCCCGGCCCAGCCACUGUCCAGAGAGAUUCUCACCAUUGUCCAGGCGGGACCCCCCGCACCCGCUGUCCGGUGAGACCCUCUCCACUAUCCAGGCAGGACUCCCUACUCACUGUCCGGUGAGACCCUCUCCGCUGUCUGGCGGGACCCUCACCCCCUUCUGUCCGGUGAGACCCUCUCGGCCUUCCGGACGGGAUCCCCCACACCUUUCGCUGUCCGGUGAGACCCUCUCCGCUGUCCAGACGGGACCCCCGGCCCCUUUUGCUGUCCGGUGAGACCCUCUAGGCCGUCUGGACGGGACCCCCCUCCCCCUUCACUGUCCGGUGAGACCCUCUCCGCUAUCCAGGCGGGACCCUCGCCCCGUCGCUGUCCGGGGAGACCCCCUCCGCCGUCCGGACGGGACCCCCCACCCCUUUAGCUAUCC
Molecule: long non-coding RNA, 1190 nt
Filed under: Ornithorhynchus anatinus (platypus)
Lineage: Eukaryota; Metazoa; Chordata; Mammalia; Monotremata; Ornithorhynchidae
Description: lncRNA (ENSOANG00000037476.1)
Source: RNAcentral